RNAcentral lists this ribosomal RNA (396 nucleotides) under uncultured bacterium. RNAcentral's name for it is "bacterial SSU rRNA". It matches the Rfam family "Bacterial small subunit ribosomal RNA", at positions 505 to 898 of the family's 1533-position model. The record is from RNAcentral.
GUGUCAGCAGCCGCGGUAAUACGUAGGGUCCGAGCGUUGUCCGGAAUUAUUGGGCGUAAAGGGCUCGUAGGCGGUUUGUCACGUCGGGAGUGAAAUCUUACAGCUUAACUGUGAACUUGCUUUCGAUACGGGCAGACUUGAGGCAUUCAGGGGAGAACGGAAUUCCUGGUGUAGCGGUGAAAUGCGCAGAUAUCAGGAGGAACACCGGUGGCGAAGGCGGUUCUCUGGGAAUGUUCUGACGCUGAGGAGCGAAAGUGUGGGGAGCGAACAGGAUUAGAUACCCUGGUAGUCCACACCGUAAACGUUGGGCGCUAGGUGUGGGGCCUAUUCCAUGGGUUCCGUGCCGCAGCUAACGCAUUAAGCGCCCCGCCUGGGGAGUACGGCCGCAAGGCUAAA